CCGCGGUAAUUCCAGCUCCAAUAGCGUAUAUUAAACUUGUUGCAGUUAAAAAGCUCGUAGUUGAAUUUCUGCGUUGCCCGACUCGGCUACUUGCCUUGUCUGGUUUCGCUUUUGGGGUUUUCCCCUUUUUACUUUGAGAAAAUUAGAGUGUUUCAAGCAGACUUGUGUCUUGAAUACUUCAGCAUGGAAUAAUAAAGUAGGACUUUGGUUCUAUUUUGUUGGUUUGUGAACCUUAGUAAUGGUUAAUAGGAACGGUUGGGGGCAUUCGUAUUUAACUGUCAGAGGUGAAAUUCUUAGAUUUGUUAAAGACAAACUACUG
Molecule: ribosomal RNA, 319 nt
Filed under: Babesia gibsoni
Lineage: Eukaryota; Apicomplexa; Aconoidasida; Piroplasmida; Babesiidae
Description: SSU rRNA
Rfam family: Eukaryotic small subunit ribosomal RNA
Source: RNAcentral